AUCGCUUCUCGGCCUUUUGGCUAAGAUCAAGUGUAGUAUCUGUUCUUAUCAGUUUAAUAUCUGAUAUGUCCUCUAUAUGAGGACAACAUAUUAAGCCGAUUUUUGGCAGCGGGAGUUGAAAAAGGAGCUAGCUCCGUUCAAUCCAAGCAUCGCCCCGGUACUGCAGUGCCGCCGGGAAUGGUGCACGCUUC
This is a small nuclear RNA of Cololabis saira (Pacific saury), 191 nucleotides long. RefSeq annotates it as U2 spliceosomal RNA. The record is from RefSeq and is a predicted model, not a curated record. The transcript has a single exon. NCBI's taxonomy places the organism in Eukaryota, Metazoa, Chordata, Actinopteri, Beloniformes, Belonidae.